UUGGGAGCUCACUGGCUUUGGAGUCAUGGGAACUCCGAAGUUAAGCGAGUUGGGGCUAGAGUAAUCCCAGGAUGGGUGACCCACUAGGAAGUUGCUCGUAAGGUCCCAGA
RNAcentral lists this ribosomal RNA (110 nucleotides) under Prunus dulcis (almond). The record is from RNAcentral. Lineage: Eukaryota; Viridiplantae; Streptophyta; Magnoliopsida; Rosales; Rosaceae.